CCGGCGGACGGGUGCGUAACGCGUAUGCAACCUGCCCGGGACAGGAGGAUAAUCCGAAGAAAUUUGGUCUAAUACUCCGUAAUACUGACGAAGGCAUCUUUGUCGGUUGAAAACUGAGGUGGUUCCGGAUGGGCAUGCGUGAUAUUAGCUAGAUGGAGAGGUAACGGCUCACCAUGGCUACGAUAUCUAGGGGAACUGAGAGGUUAAUCCCCCACACUGGUACUGAGACACGGACCAGACUCCUACGGGAGGCAGCAGUGAGGAAUAUUGGUCAAUGGGAGGAAUCCUGAACCAGCCAUGCCGCGUGCAGGACGACGGCUCUACGAGUUGUAAACUGCUUUUGUACCGGGGUAAAAUGCCUUACGUGUAGGGUUUUGAAAGUACGGUACGAAUAAGGAUCGGCUAACUCCGUGCCAGCAGCCGCGGUAAUACGGAGGAUGCGAGCGUUAUCCGGAUUUAUUGGGUUUAAAGGGUGCGCAGGCGGAGGCACAAGUCAGCGGUAAAAUCGCGGGGCUCAACCCCGCUCCGCCGUUGAAACUGUGUCCCUUGAGUGCGCGAAGGGUAGGCGGAAUGCGUGGUGUAGCGGUGAAAUGCAUAGAUAUCACGCAGAACUCCGAUCGCGAAGGCAGCCUACCGGCGCGCGACUGACGCUCAUGCACGAAAGCGUGGGUAUCGAACAGGAUUAGAUACCCUGGUAGUCCGCGCGGUAAACGAUGGAU
RNAcentral lists this ribosomal RNA (719 nucleotides) under uncultured bacterium. RNAcentral describes it as "bacterial SSU rRNA". It matches the Rfam family "Bacterial small subunit ribosomal RNA", at positions 95 to 814 of the family's 1533-position model. The record is from RNAcentral.